This 250-nucleotide ribosomal RNA is filed under the name uncultured bacterium. Its description in RNAcentral is "partial 16S ribosomal RNA". It matches the Rfam family "Bacterial small subunit ribosomal RNA", at positions 524 to 773 of the family's 1533-position model. The record is from RNAcentral.
UACGAACUGUGCGAACGUUAUUCGGAAUCACUGGGCUUAAAGGGUGCGUAGGCGGUUACCUAAGUCAGGUGUGAAAUCUCUCGGCUCAACCGGGAAACUGCGCUUGAAACUGGGUGACUGGAGUGAUGCAGGGGUGUGUGGAACUUCCGGUGGAGCGGUGAAAUGUGUAGAUAUCGGAAGGAACGCCAGCAGCGAAAGCGGCACACUGGGCAUUUUCUGACGCUGAGGCACGAAAGCUAGGGGAGUGAAC